CGUGGAGACAGGUGGUGCAUGGCUGUCGUCAGCUCGUGUCGUGAGAUGUUGGGUUAAGUCCCGCAACGAGCGCAACCCUCACCCCUAGUUGCCACCGGGUAAAGCCGAGCACUCGAGGGGAACUGCCAGCGUCAAGCUGGAGGAAGGCGGGGAUGACGUCAAGUCAUCAUGCCCCUUACGCCCUGGGCUACACACGUGCUACAAUGGCCGGUACAAAGGGACGCGAGACUGCAAAGUGGAGCUAAUCCCAAAAAACCGGUCUAAGUUCAGAUUGCAGUCUGCAACUCGACUGCAUGAAGGAGGAAUCGCUAGUAAUCGCGCAUCAGCACGGCGCGGUGAAUACGUUCCCGGGCCUUGUACACACCGCCCGUCACACCACGAAAGCUGUCUGUACUCGAAGUCGCUGAG
RNAcentral lists this ribosomal RNA (408 nucleotides) under uncultured Methylomirabilota bacterium. Its description in RNAcentral is "bacterial SSU rRNA". It matches the Rfam family "Bacterial small subunit ribosomal RNA", at positions 1027 to 1434 of the family's 1533-position model. The record is from RNAcentral. Lineage: Bacteria; Methylomirabilota (SeqCode).